RNAcentral lists this ribosomal RNA (676 nucleotides) under uncultured bacterium. Its description in RNAcentral is "bacterial SSU rRNA". It matches the Rfam family "Bacterial small subunit ribosomal RNA", at positions 44 to 715 of the family's 1533-position model. The record is from RNAcentral.
AUGCUUAACACAUGCAAGUCGAACGGUAACAGAAAGUAGCUUGCUACUUUGCUGACGAGCGGCGGACGGGUGAGUAAUGCUUGGGAACAUGCCUUGAGGUGGGGGACAACAGUUGGAAACGACUGCUAAUACCGCAUAAUGUCUACGGACCAAAGGGGGCUUCGGCUCUCGCCUUUAGAUUGGCCCAAGUGGGAUUAGCUAGUUGGUGAGGUAAUGGCUCACCAAGGCAACGAUCCCUAGCUGGUUUGAGAGGAUGAUCAGCCACACUGGGACUGAGACACGGCCCAGACUCCUACGGGAGGCAGCAGUGGGGAAUAUUGCACAAUGGGCGCAAGCCUGAUGCAGCCAUGCCGCGUGUGUGAAGAAGGCCUUCGGGUUGUAAAGCACUUUCAGUCAGGAGGAAAGGUUAGUAGUUAAUACCUGCUAGCUGUGACGUUACUGACAGAAGAAGCACCGGCUAACUCCGUGCCAGCAGCCGCGGUAAUACGGAGGGUGCGAGCGUUAAUCGGAAUUACUGGGCGUAAAGCGUACGCAGGCGGUUUGUUAAGCGAGAUGUGAAAGCCCCGGGCUCAACCUGGGAACUGCAUUUCGAACUGGCAAACUAGAGUGUGAUAGAGGGUGGUAGAAUUUCAGGUGUAGCGGUGAAAUGCGUAGAGAUCUGAAGGAACACCAGUGG